RNAcentral lists this long non-coding RNA (946 nucleotides) under Citrus x clementina. Its description in RNAcentral is "Citrus clementina (C. clementina) long non-coding RNA (CCLE_LNC003730)". The record is from RNAcentral. Lineage: Eukaryota; Viridiplantae; Streptophyta; Magnoliopsida; Sapindales; Rutaceae.
GGACGAACUUGGCGCCCCGGCCUUCGGGCCGUUAUUUUUGGGCGUGGCUUUGCCUGCGGCCUAUUUUUGGUACAAGGAGGCCCGUCGCAAAGUCUCGCGGCAUUCCGAGUCCGGCGGACGAAGUUGGCCAGCCCCACCACCCAAGGCUAUAGCCCACCCGUUUUUGAUGGCCUUUUUCCGCUGGACGAACUUGGCGCCCCGGCCUUCGGGCGGUUAUUUUUGGGCACGGCUUUGACCGCAGCCUAUUUUUGGCACACGGAGGCCCCUCGCAAAGUCUCGCGGCAUUCCGAGUCCGGCGGACGAAGUUGGCCAGCCCCACCCACCAAGGCUAUUGCCCACCCGUUUUUGUGGCCUUUUUCCUCUGGACGAACUUGGCGCCCCGGCCUUCGGGCGGUUAUUUUUGGUCGCGGCUUUGCCCGCGGCCUACUUUUGGCACCCGGAGGGGCCUUGUAAAGUCUCGCGGCAUUCCUAGUCCGGCGGACGAGGUUGGCCAGCCCCACCCCCCAAGGCUAUAGCCCACCCGUUUUUGUGGCCUUUUUCCGCUGGACGAACAUGGCGCCCCGGCCUUCGGGCGUUUAUUUUUGGGCGCGGCUUUGUCCGCGGCCUAUUUUUGUCACACGGAGGCCCCUCGCAAAGUCUCGUGGCAUUCCGAGUCCGGCGGCCGAAGUUGGCCGGCCCCACCCCCCAAGGCUAUAGCCCACCUUUUUUUGUGGCCUUUUUCCGCUGGACGAACUUGGCGCCCCGGCUUUCGGGCGGCUAUUUUUGGGUACGGCUUUGCCCGCGACCUACUUUUGGCACACGGAGGUGCCUUGCAACGUCUCGCGGCAUUCCGAGUCCGGCGGACGAGGUUGGCCAGCCCCACCCCCCAAGGCUAUACCCCACCCGUUUUUGUGGCCUUUUUCCGCUGGACGAACUUGGCGCCCCGGCCUUCGGGCGGUUAUUUUUG